UUCUACGGGGGGCAGCAGUGGGGAAUAUUGCACAAUGGGCGCAAGCUGAUGCAGCGACGCCGCGUGAGGGAUGACGGCCUUCGGGUUGUAAACCGCUUUCAGCUCGGACGAAGCGCAAGUGACGGUACGAGCAGAAGAAGGACCGGCCAACUACGUGCCAGCAGCCGCGGUAAU
RNAcentral lists this ribosomal RNA (174 nucleotides) under uncultured Gordonia sp. RNAcentral describes it as "partial 16S ribosomal RNA". It matches the Rfam family "Bacterial small subunit ribosomal RNA", at positions 337 to 524 of the family's 1533-position model. The record is from RNAcentral. Lineage: Bacteria; Bacillati; Actinomycetota; Actinomycetes; Mycobacteriales; Gordoniaceae.